UACGUAGGCAGCAAGCGUUGUUCGGAAUUACUGGGCGUAAAGAGUGUGUAGGCGGUGCUCCAAGUCUGGUGUGAAAUCUCCCGGCCUAACUGGGAGGGGUCGCCCUAGACUGGGCGUCUUGAGGACAGCAGAGGUGGGUGGAAUUCCUGGUGUAGUGGUGAAAUGCGUAGAGAUCAGGAGGAACACCGGUGGCGAAGGCGGCCCACUGGGCUGUCACUGACGCUGAGGCGCGAAAGCUCGGGGAGCGAACGGG
Molecule: ribosomal RNA, 253 nt
Filed under: uncultured bacterium
Lineage: Bacteria
Description: partial 16S ribosomal RNA
Rfam family: Bacterial small subunit ribosomal RNA
Source: RNAcentral